UUCCGGUUGAUCCCGCCGGACCCCACUGCUAUCGAGGUGGGACUAAGCCAUGCCAGUCGAACGACCCGGACUAUGGCGGGGAGUGGCAGACUGCUCAGUAACACGUAGCUAACCUACCCUCGGGACGGGGAUAACCCCGGGAAACUGGGGCUAAUACCCGAUAGGUAUGGAUUCCUGGAAUGGUGCCAUGCCUAAACGUAAGCACAUCCAUGUUUGUGUGCACGCCCGAGGAUGGGGCUGCGGCCGAUCAGGCAGUUGGUGAGGUAACGGCUCACCAAACCUUUGACCGGUACGGGCCAUGAGAGUGGUAGCCCGGAGAUGGGCACUGAGACAAGGGCCCAGGCCCUACGGGGCGCAGCAGGCGCGAAACCUCCACAAUUCACGCAAGUGAGAUGGGGUUACCUCGAGUGCCAUCUGAAGAAGGUGGCUUUUCCAUGGUGUAAUGAGCCGUGGGAAUAAGGGGGGGGCAAGACUGGUGUCAGCCGCCGCGGUAACACCAGCCCCCCGAGUGGUGGGGAUGAUUAUUUGGCCUAAAGCGUCCGUAGCCAGCUCGGUAAAUCUCUCGUUAAAUCCAGCGUCCUAAGCGUUGGGCUGCGAGGGAAACUGCCGAACUAGAGGGUGGGAGAGGUCAGCGGUAUUCCUGGGGUAGGGGCGAAAUCCAUUGAUCCCAGGAGGACCACCAGUGGCGAAGGCUGCUGACUAGAACACGCCUGACGGUGAGGGACGAAAGCUGGGGUAGCGAAUCGGAUUAGAUACCCGAGUAGUCCCAGCCGUAAACGAUGCAGGCUAGGUGUUGGGUCGGCCAUGCGCCGCCUCAGUGCCACAGGGAAAGCCAUUAAGCCUGCCGCCUGGGGAGUACGGGCCGCAAGGCUGAAACUUAAAGGAAUUGGCGGGGGAGCACCACCAGGCGUGAAGCCUGCGGUUUAAUUGGAGUCAACGCCGGG
RNAcentral lists this ribosomal RNA (944 nucleotides) under uncultured archaeon. RNAcentral describes it as "bacterial SSU rRNA". It matches the Rfam family "Archaeal small subunit ribosomal RNA", at positions 1 to 922 of the family's 1478-position model. The record is from RNAcentral.